AAUCUUCCGCAAUGGACGAAAGUCUGACGGAGCGAUGCCGCGUGAGUGAUGAAGGUCUUCGGAUCGUAAAACUCUGUUGUUACGGUAGAACAACUAUCGGUGUAAUAUCCCGGUACCUUGACGGUACCUAACUAGAAAGCCCCCUCUAACUACCUGCCAGCAGCCGCGGUAAUACGUAGGGGGCAAGCGUUGUCCGGAAUUAUUGGGCGUAAAGGGCACGCAGGCGGUUAUUUAAGUCUGAUGUGAAAUCUUGUGGCUUAACCACAAGCGGUCAUUGGAAACUGGAUAACUUGAGUACAGAAGAGGAGAGUGGAAUUCCACGUGUAGCGGUGAAAUGCGUAGAGAUGUGGAGGAACACCAGUGGCGAAGGCGGCUCUCUGGUCUGUAACUGACGCUGAGGUGCGAAAGCGUGGGUAGCGAACA
RNAcentral lists this ribosomal RNA (423 nucleotides) under uncultured bacterium. RNAcentral's name for it is "partial 16S ribosomal RNA". It matches the Rfam family "Bacterial small subunit ribosomal RNA", at positions 360 to 774 of the family's 1533-position model. The record is from RNAcentral.